GUUUUUCGCUUGAGGAUGAGCCCAUACGGGAUUAGCUAGUUGGUGAGGUAAUGGCUCACCAAGGCUACGAUCCCUAACUGGUCUUAGAGGAUGAUCAGUCACACUGGAACUGAGACACGGUCCAGACUCCUACGGGAGGCAGCAGUAGGGAAUAUUGCACAAUGGGGGAAACCCUGAUGCAGCGACGCCGCGUGAGCGAUGAAGGCCUUCGGGUCGUAAAGCUCUGUCGCAUGGGAAUAACACAAUG
This 247-nucleotide ribosomal RNA is filed under the name uncultured Bdellovibrio sp. Its description in RNAcentral is "partial 16S ribosomal RNA". It matches the Rfam family "Bacterial small subunit ribosomal RNA", at positions 210 to 456 of the family's 1533-position model. The record is from RNAcentral. Lineage: Bacteria; Pseudomonadati; Bdellovibrionota; Bdellovibrionia; Bdellovibrionales; Pseudobdellovibrionaceae.